CCACGUUUGAGUUGUGCUCCCUUCUUUACGUAGUAUUAGCAGCAGCAGCCGCAGUAGUGGAUUGGUGAAAGGGGUCUAAAGAAGGGUGGAAGGUGUUAACCCAAAAUUUCUUGGCCUAAAUGAUUGAUGAAUUUGAAACCACUACAUUAGCUUUGGUUAUGUGGGGUAUGUAUUUUCAUUUCUUUCUCCGGCAAGAAGAGCUGUAUAUAAUGGGCUAAUAAAGUAAGGAAAGGAAAGAAGUAAUGGGAUUGAUGUUGCGGUUUGCUUGCUAGGAUUGGAGAAAAGUAAUGGGGAUUAGUUUGUUGACCAGAAAUGAUAUCGUAUUAGCUUUUGAGUGAGAUUUAUUAAAGAAAGUCACAAAGAUUUGACACGCAUGGAUGGUUGAUAGUGGUGGUAUGAGUUGUAAAAUGAAGACAAAGCACCUUCUUUUAGGAGAUGUGUCUUGAGAACCUCCAUGGAUUUAGUGCAUGCGCGUUGGGUAACUUGGGUCCCACCUUCCACCCCUCUCUUUUAUGCUUUUGUCUUUUCUCUUUAGUCUAAAAUCACAAUCAUGUUGGUAGUAGUCUCAAUAAAAGUCUGAAGAAAAAAGUUUACUCUUGUGGGGUAGGGAUGAGAAAGUGCAAAUUGGGUUGUGCAACUUGCAUUUCAAUUCCAAACUGUUGGGUCCGAACCCUUGAUUAAGAAGUAAUGGUUGUGGUUUGUUUCACAUGUUAAUGUUUGAAAGCUGGUAGCAUGUACGUUAUGUUGCGACUUGUAACCAUAAUAAUAUUUGUUAUUGCCAAGUGUGAACUGUUAAAGAAUUGGUUUGUAAUCUUGAGUGUGUAUAUGGAGCUGUGUGAGCUGAUGCUAUUAUGGCUUUGUCAGUUGUGCUUGUGUAUCAAUAAUUGGGAGUUUGAAACAUGGGGAAGAAUGAAUACUUCCAAUGUAAUUGCCCCUUUGCGGCUGUUGCUCAGUUGUCAUUGUUCUAAUCUUUGUCAGAAUUUGUAUGUUUGUAAUUUGUUUUAAAAGUAUUGUAUUGGAUUUCCUUUAUUGAAGAGUUUUGUCUUUGUAGAGUCGUGUGAAGUG
This 1065-nucleotide long non-coding RNA is filed under the name Citrus maxima (pomelo). RNAcentral's name for it is "long non-coding RNA (CMAX_LNC000260)". Lineage: Eukaryota; Viridiplantae; Streptophyta; Magnoliopsida; Sapindales; Rutaceae. The record is from RNAcentral.